UACGAAGGGGGCUAGCGUUGUUCGGAAUUACUGGGCGUAAAGCGCGCGCAGGCGGUCUUCCAAGUCAGUGGUGAAAGCCUGGAGCUCAACUCCAGAACUGCCAUUGAAACUGUUAGACUUGAGUACGAGAGAGGUGAGUGGAAUUCCCAGUGUAGGGGUGAAAUUCGUAGAUAUUGGGAAGAACACCGGUGGCGAAGGCGGCUCACUGGCUCGUAACUGACGCUCAGGCGCGACAGCGUGGGGAUCGAAACAGG
Molecule: ribosomal RNA, 254 nt
Filed under: uncultured bacterium
Lineage: Bacteria
Description: partial 16S ribosomal RNA
Rfam family: Bacterial small subunit ribosomal RNA
Source: RNAcentral